GACGAACGCUGGCGGCGUGCUUAACACAUGCCAGUCGAGCGGAAAGGCCUGCUUUCCCUUGUGGAUUGCGGGUACUCGAGUGGCGAACGGGUGAGUAACACGUGAGUGAUCUGCCCCCAACUUGGGUAUAAGCCUGGGAAACUGGGUCUAAUUCCCGAUAGGACUGCAGGGUGGUGCCUGUGGUGGAAAACGAUUUUCUAGUGGUUGGGGAUGAGCUCGCGGCCUAUCAGCUUGUUGGUGGGGUAAUGGCCUACCAAGGCGGCGACGGGUAGCCGGCCUGGGAGGGUGGACGGCCACAUUGGGACUGAGAUACGGCCCAGACUCCUACGGGAGGCAGCAGUGGGGAAUAUUGCACAAUGGGCGGAAGCCUGAUGCAGCGACGCCGCGUGGGGGAUGACGGCCUUCGGGUUGUAAACUCCUUUCGACCGCGAGGAAGCCACCUGGUUGGAAGGGUGGUGACGGUAGUGGUAGAAGAAGCACCGGCUAACUACGUG
This 494-nucleotide ribosomal RNA is filed under the name uncultured bacterium. Its description in RNAcentral is "partial 16S ribosomal RNA". It matches the Rfam family "Bacterial small subunit ribosomal RNA", at positions 28 to 507 of the family's 1533-position model. The record is from RNAcentral.